RNAcentral lists this unclassified non-coding RNA (78 nucleotides) under Epilithonimonas mollis. RNAcentral's name for it is "Chryseobacterium molle Flavo-1 RNA". The record is from RNAcentral. Lineage: Bacteria; Pseudomonadati; Bacteroidota; Flavobacteriia; Flavobacteriales; Weeksellaceae.
CUGCAGCCCGGCUUGAACGGAGCUCUUUUUAUUUUUUUGAUGAAAAAUAAAAAAGCGGGAGUGGAAGACGGAUUAAGC